RNAcentral lists this long non-coding RNA (395 nucleotides) under Ananas comosus (pineapple). RNAcentral's name for it is "long non-coding RNA (ACOM_LNC027952)". The record is from RNAcentral. Lineage: Eukaryota; Viridiplantae; Streptophyta; Magnoliopsida; Poales; Bromeliaceae.
GAAGAUUUUUCUGCGAAGCUUCUGUACCCUGGACAGACUGCAGCUUGCAUCGGAACAGGGCUUGUACCGGUACAGCAAUGAUGGUUGUACCGGAACAACCAUCAAACUUUUCUGCGGCAAAAGCUGAUGUCUGUACCGGAACAGAAAAUCCUUGUACCGGUACAACAAUGCAAUUUUCGCUGAAAAUGCAUUGUUUCGAGUUUUACAAGCUCUUAGAAACUUUCUAAACAAUUACAACUUGAAAAUAUGAUUCUAAGAUCUAUAAUUAAGUAUGAAUCACCAUAAACAAGAUUUAAAGCUUACCUAAGCAUCGUGAUUCAAGUUUUGCGUGUUUUGCGUCCUUUCCCAUUCUUCGAAGUCUUGGAUUCUUCGAUCUUCAAUACUUCGCUCCGGAC